This 1539-nucleotide unclassified non-coding RNA is filed under the name Lytechinus variegatus (green sea urchin). RNAcentral describes it as "translocator protein-like, transcript variant X1". Lineage: Eukaryota; Metazoa; Echinodermata; Echinoidea; Temnopleuroida; Toxopneustidae. The record is from RNAcentral.
CAAGGCACCGACUCUCGAUUGACUUGUCUCCAAAUUUUGUAAUCUAACCCUUAUGAUGUCCGACUACAUGAGGAUAGCUGGGGCCAUUGUCUUGCCCAACCUUGGGGGAUUUGCAUCGAGCAUGGUCCAGAAACCUGAUAAGAUGGCAUGGUAUGACACUCUGAAGAAACCCUGGUGGACCCCACCUAAGAAGGCCUUUGCACCUGUCUGGAUAUCCCUCUACGCAGCCAUGGGAUAUUCUUCGUACCUCGUCUGGAAAGAUGGAGGUGGUUUUGAAGGCGAUGCCUUGGUCCCACUUUGUAGCUAUGGAGCAUCGCUCGCCCUCAACUGGAUUUGGACUCCAGUAUUCUUUGGAAUGCACAAGAUGGGAUUGUCUGUAGCCAUCAUCCUAGCUUACUCUGGCCUGAGCUGUGUGAAUGUAGCCUUGUUCUACCCCAUCAAUCGGACUGCAUCCAUGCUCCUCGUACCCCUCCUUGGCUGGCUCUCCAUCGCAUCUAGCGUCAACAUCUACACUUGGCUAAACAACAGAGAAACCAAGACGGAAUAAUAUCAGUUAUUAUCUAGUGUAAUGUAAACAUAUACAUUUUUGUGUGAUGAAUCUGUGUGUAAUAAAGAGGGUGUGUUCACAUCAGACUGGCUUUUCCUGGGGCUGGUUGCAUGAAAUGGUCUUUUCAAGGACUCUUUUGGGUUGAUUUAUUGUGAUGCGCCAUAUAAAAUGCCUUUUUAACAAAUUAUUUGCCAACAUUUGUUUAUUUUCCAUGAAAAUUAAUGAAUCCAUUGUUAAUAAAUAUUUUAUAAUAUGAAUAUGGAUUUCAAAAGUUUGGGAAAUAAAAUUUAUAUUUGGCAAUAAAUUUACAAAUUGCGUCAUAUGGUACAUCAAAAUAAAUGGGUGACACAAAAGACCUUCCUUUUGAAGACCCUUUUGUGCAAUCAGCCUGGAAGGUAUAUUAAAUUAAAAAUCAAAUUUGUACGAGGUCUUGGGCUGUAUGUUUCACAAGAUGCUAAGAAUAUCACAUUUAUGCCAUGUACAGUUAAUCCCUUUUAGCACUGCCAGAUACUUGAUUGAUUAUACAUUCAACUGGACAGAUUAUCCUUUUACAUAAUAAUCUCAACUUUCUCAAGCAUACAUAUAUCUUCCAUGAUAUUUUGAUUGACAGUUUCUAUUCAAAGUGUUUAUAUCCAUCAAUCAUUUCACUAAAAAUGGGAUUUUUUUCUUAGCUAAGAUGCAUGUCCAUUGCCUCCUGAAGUGAAUACAUGUAUGCAUUGUCCGCUACUGCAUGUAUGCCCCCUUAAAUGAAAUAUUCAUGAAAGCAGAAGGUUGACUGGAUUUCAUACUUAAUGCCCGAGGUACAAAUAAUAUUGCUACAUGAACUUCUCCAUGUUAACCGAAAAGUACCAUUUACAUGUGUUUAAAGGUAUUUGAUGAAGUACUGUGUGAAAUUGCUUUUAAUAGUAUACUGUAUAUAUCUUGAAUGUAACAACAUAUGAGUGUUGUUAGAAAGUUUUAAAUAUCUAUCUGAAGUAAAUGCAGUGCAAUUC